GGGAGGCCAAGGUGGGUGGAUCAUUUCAGCCCAGGAGUUUGAGAUCACCCUGCGCAAUGUGGCAAAACCCUGUCUCUACAAAAACUACAAAAGUUAGCUGGGCGUGGGGGUGCGUGCCUGUGGUCCCAGCCACUUAGGAGGCUGAGGUGGCAGGAUGGCUUGAACCUGGGAGGUGGAGGUUGCAGUGAGCCAAGAUCAUGCUGCUGCACUCCAGCCUGGGUGACAGAGUGAGACCCUGUCUAAAAAUAAAUAAAUAAAUAAAAAAUGGGGGCAGCAAACCAGAGACUAGAAACCAUUUCAUAUUUGACUAGAAAUAUGCAGCGAUGGUCGCUGAGGAAGGUCUGAUGAUGCUGGUACUUCUGCCUACACACACAAUACAGAGAACUAUAUUAAUCCACAUGUAAAAGUGAACCCUGUAAAUAUCUCUUGUCUGAAGUCCUAAGCCAAAAGGAAUUUUCUUGUAACCACUAAAGGAUUUUUCUUGUAAUCUUUUACAUUGACAUAAUUUUCUAGUAUUUAUUAAAUCCCCAUCUGCCAAUGGCAGAUCCACUUUUAAAGGAGAAAAGUACAAGAGGAAAAAUCUUUUCAGGAAAGUUACAUUAGGUAGUAAAAUUAAAGUAUUAAAAAUUAUAUAUAAAUUCUUCCAGCUCAUCACAUCCCAUAUAGAUGGCAAUCACAUAGUGUUCACAUUCUAUAAGUUGACCAUAGCUAAAGUAAACUGCAGGUGUCCUCUUUUUACAAAGAAAUGUUCUUCACAGAAGUGCAAUGUACAUAUUUGAUUUUCCUACACCAUUAGAAAUGAUUCUGCAAAGCAUUCUCAGAAGAAUUCUAUGCAUAUGGAUGAGACAGAAUGAGAAGAGUAUAAUAUGGGUAAAAAGUCAAUUAAAUAUAUUGAACACUGAAACCGUAUUAAUAGUUUGGGGUCAAAAUCGGAGCAGCUAUUGCGUGGAGUUUAUAAGGAACCGUCCUGGGUCCAAUCUCCCUCCAUAUUUUCUAUUAAUAGCUCUGAGGAUCCUAUGACAAAUGCACUAAUCAAUCCACAGAAAAUGCAGCUCUGGGAAACAUUGCUAAUGCUUUGGAUGACAAUAUUAAAAUUCAGGACGAUCUUGUUAAAUUGAAGAAAUGAGCCAAAAUCAAUAGAGCAGCACACGCAGUUCUGCCAGGUGUUCCACAUUGCAGGAUACAGGGAGCCCUCGAACGGAAAGGAAGACCAGCCUGGUAGGCGAAACUCCAGCUGGUAAAGCUAUCCAACUCCUGUUCUCCCUCUCCCUCCCUGACAGCCACAAGGAUAUCCAGACAGGUGUUUAGGGCUGUCAUCUACACAUGAUUUAACUCCACUGCCUACAGCUUCUCAACUCUUUCCCCCAGAGCCCAGCAGUGAGGGAAGAGAGAUGAUGAAUUUCCUUUAAUAUAAGUUGUAGGGCCCACACUGAUGAAUUUAGACUUUAGAACAUCACAUUAGAAGCAGAAAGAAAAAAAUUAGGAAACAACUAAAGAUUUCUAAGUAGGAGUAUAAUGACCUCUUCCUAAGGAGUGUCAUAAUAUCUUCCUGACAUUUAAAAACAUGGUCUCUAUUAGGCAGCACCCUGCAAAGUAAUUCACUUACCCAUGUUGAGGAUUGUGGGCCACAAACAGCACUUUGACAGGCACUUCUGUCUGGCGAUUCUGUGUUCAGUUUGCUCAAGAACUCAGCGGUUUUGCUACCAGAAACACAAACAGGUGUUAGUGCCUUCACAAAAAUAUGAACAUAAUUCUUUAUUUUUCCUUUGGAUACUAACCUAGACUUAUUUGGGUGAUGAUUAAAAUUAUCUUCAGCAGAACAGAAAGUUACGUUGAGAACAAGGUGUAGCAGAAAUCAAAACAAAAUGCUAUUGCAAGAUUGCAUUCUUCAAGAACAAUAUUACAAAAUUAUAAAACUAGCUUUAUGAAAUGUGAGCUUAUGACCUCAUUUUUUCCACUUUAUAUUACUGACAUAAAUACAAGUCCUCUCCCAGAGCACAUUCCACAGCAUGCAGCCCUAAUUUCCUAUCUGAACAUUUAAUGCUUAACACUCAGACUUCAGGGUGGAGCUGUGGAACAUUCACGCCCUACAACAUCCUGCUUCACACCAGUUUUACAUUAAGCCCUUUACCCUCUCAUCUGCCUCAUGGCUUUGACCACUGUUAGGACACAGAGACCCUCUAAUCCAGUAGCUCUUUUCCAUUUAUGGAUCAUGGAGCCCUUUUGGACUCUGAAAGCAAAAGUGAACCCUCUGUUAACAGACACACACACACACACACACACACACACACACACACACAGUCCUUUGCAUUUUGUUUCAGAGAGAGGAUAAACCCUCCAUAGGGUUUAUCUAUAGAGGUUAAAAAGUGCUGCUGAUUCUAGACUGCAUUUCUAAUAUCUCUUUUUAGCUCUGAAAAAUUGACCUAGAAAUGUCCUCAGUUUAAAUAAGAAGUUCUCUGUUUUUACCUUAAAAAUCCAAACCACCACCCCAAUUUCCCCUCUCACUUAUGCCAAGCAUAGAACACUGGAAUUGUUUCCUAGUCCUUACCUCAGUGCCUGGCCCAUUCUGCCUACCCUUGAUUAAUUUCUACGCCUUUGUCCUUUUCUCAUGUAAUUUGUGUGAUUUUUAUCUCUUCAUUGCACAUUCACAGCCACAUACCUCAUUGAGCACUGACUUACUUUGCACCAGACUUGCGCAGCCUGUUCCCAUCUCCCUCCCUCCUCCUGCUAGCCCUCUGCUUCCCCCUAAUAUUUUAAGCCCAAUGCUAAGAUCUGAUUCAUCAAGUACUUAGGACAUGGGCAUCAAAGGAAACACAAAGUAUCUGGUAGAACAAAUGGCAUCCAGUGUAGGAGCAAAACAAGGAAUUAGAAACUAAACAGGUGCCAGCAUCACUUCAAAUAUUACUUAGGUAGAACAUGGCAUUUGAAAAAGGUCAGAAGCUUGAUCUGGGGAAGGAAGAAAUAAAAGUGAAGCAACAUACAGAACCCUGAGAAACAUUCAGCAGUUGAGACGAGCAGCCUUUCCAUUUGUCUUAGAUUACUUAUCUUGCCCAGAAUAGACAAGGAGACUAAUGAAGUCACAGAGUGUGGAAGCUGCCCCAUUGUCUGGGGCUUUAUGAAGUCAUCAGUCAAAAGUAUAAAAAGAAGAGUGAUGCCAGAAGUUUGGAUGAGAUCUCUGAAUAUCCUAAGCCAAGUGCAGGCCAUAGGA
This 3208-nucleotide long non-coding RNA is filed under the name Homo sapiens (human). RNAcentral describes it as "HSALNT0200704". The record is from RNAcentral. Lineage: Eukaryota; Metazoa; Chordata; Mammalia; Primates; Hominidae.